AGCAGCCGCGGUAAUUCCAGCUCCAAUAGCGUAUAUUAAAGUUGCUGCAGUUAAAAAGCUCGUAGUUGAAUUUCGGGAUCAAUAUGUUGGUCGUGCCUCGGUACGUACUAGCUUAUUGGUUUCUCCCUUCUGACGAACCAUGAUGUCAUUUAUUUGGUGUUAUGGGAAAUCAGGACUGUUACUUUGAAAAAAUUAGAGUGUUUAAAGCAGGCUCACGCUUGAAUACAUUAGCAUGGAAUAAUGAAAUAGGACGUUUGAUUCUAUUUUGUUGGUUUCUAGGAUCGACGUAAUGAUUAAUAGGGAUAGUUGGGGGCAUUAGUAUUCAAUUGUCAGAGGUGAAAUUCUUGGAUUUAUUGAAGACUAACUACUGCGAAAGCAUUUGCCAAGGAUGUUUUCAUUAAUCAAGAACGAAAGUUAGGGGAUCGAAGACGAUCAGACACCGUCGUAGUCUUAACCAUAAACUAUGCCGACUAGGGAUCGGAUGAUGUUAAUUUUUUAAUGACUCAUUCGGCGCCUUACG
RNAcentral lists this unclassified non-coding RNA (520 nucleotides) under uncultured Glomus. Its description in RNAcentral is "SSU rRNA". It matches the Rfam family "Eukaryotic small subunit ribosomal RNA", at positions 569 to 1092 of the family's 1831-position model. The record is from RNAcentral. Lineage: Eukaryota; Fungi; Glomeromycota; Glomeromycetes; Glomerales; Glomeraceae.